CAGCAGCCACGGUAAUACGUAGGUCCCGAGCGUUGUCCGGAUUUAUUGGGCGUAAAGGGAGCGCAGGCGGUUUAGUAAGUCUAAAGUUAAAGGCAUUGGCUCAACCAAUGUAUGCUUUGGAAACUGUUAGACUUGAGUGCAGAAGGGGAGAGUGGAAUUCCAUGUGUAGCGGUGAAAUGCGUAGAUAUAUGGAGGAACACCGGUGGCGAAGGCGGCUCUCUGGUCUGUCACUGACGCUGAGGCUCGAAAGCGUGGGUAGCGAACAGGAUUAGAUACCCCAGUAGUCCCUGUCUCUUAUACC
This 301-nucleotide ribosomal RNA is filed under the name uncultured bacterium. Its description in RNAcentral is "partial 16S ribosomal RNA". It matches the Rfam family "Bacterial small subunit ribosomal RNA", at positions 509 to 808 of the family's 1533-position model. The record is from RNAcentral.